UUUAAAUGGCCGCAGUAUACUAACUGUGCAAAGGUAGCAUAAUCAUUAGUCUUUUAAUUGAAGGCUGGUAUGAAUGGUUGGACGAAAUAUUAACUGUUUCAUUGAAAUUUUUUUUUGAAUUUUAUUUUUUAGUAAAAAAGCUAAAAUUUGAUUAAAAGACGAGAAGACCCUAUAAAUCUUUAUAUACACAUAUAUUAGAAUUUUUUAGAUUUAUUUUAUUAUAAUAAUUGAUUAUAUUUUAUUGGGGUGAUAUUAAAAUUUAAUAAACUUUUAAUUGUUAAAAUCAUUAAUUUAUGAAUAUUUGAUCCGUUAAUAACGAUUAAAAAAAUAAGUUACUUUAGGGAUAACAGCGUAAUUUUUUUGGAGAGUUCAUAUCGAUAAAAAAGAUUGCGACCUCGAUGUGGGAUUAAGAUAUAAUUUUAGGUGUAGCCGCUUAAAUU
Molecule: ribosomal RNA, 440 nt
Filed under: Dexosarcophaga transita
Lineage: Eukaryota; Metazoa; Arthropoda; Insecta; Diptera; Sarcophagidae
Description: partial 16S ribosomal RNA
Rfam family: Bacterial large subunit ribosomal RNA
Source: RNAcentral